Molecule: ribosomal RNA, 270 nt
Filed under: uncultured bacterium
Lineage: Bacteria
Description: partial 16S ribosomal RNA
Rfam family: Bacterial small subunit ribosomal RNA
Source: RNAcentral
GAUGAACGCUAGCGGCAGGCUUAAUACAUGCAAGUCGAACGGUAAGUGUAGUAGCAAUAUUAUACGAGAGUGACGUACGGGUGCGUAACACGUAUGCAACCUACCUUGUACAGGAGGAUAGCUCGGGGAAACUCGAAUUAACCCUCCAUGAGAUCACAGUGUGGCAUCACAUAGUGAUUAAAACUCAGGUGGUACAAGAUGGGCAUGCGUCUGAUAGUUAGUUGGCGGGGUAACGGCCCACCAAGACGAUGAUCAGUAGGGGACCUGAGA